This 3128-nucleotide long non-coding RNA is filed under the name Canis lupus familiaris (dog). Its description in RNAcentral is "lncRNA (ENSCAFG00845000232.1)". Lineage: Eukaryota; Metazoa; Chordata; Mammalia; Carnivora; Canidae. The record is from RNAcentral.
UCCCGGGUCUCCAGGAUCGCGCCCCGGGCCAAAGGCAGGCGCUAAACCGCUGCGCCACCCAGGGAUCCCACAUUACAAUUUCUUGUAAUUUUUUUUAAGGCCAUCAUUCAGAGCUCAAAAUCUGCAUUCAUAGGGAAGAUAUUAGGAGGAGUGCUUAGGUCACCAGAGGCCACGGAGGCCAAACAUUGUAUAACUUGGAACAUUAAAAAAAAAAAAAAAAAAGAAAGUACUUUUAUCAUGCAUGUUGUUCUGUAUAUUAUGGAUGAUGUUUAAAUAUGGCAAUAGCAUAUAACAUUUAAAAAUAGAGUUUGCCUAUGUUUUAAUAUACUAUGCUGAUAUUUAAGCAAAAUAUUACUAACAAAAAAGGGCCCCCAAAAGUCUCAUUCAAUUUUUGUUUUAUACUUAAAUUGAAUACUGAUUCCUGCUUAAUGAUUUAAUUUGAGCAAGUAAAAAAAUAUGUUUGAGUAAUUUUGGAUAGGUGCCAAAGGAGAUUAGGGCUCUUUCAAAGAAUUUAGGUAGAUUGCAAUUAUUUUCAUUACAUAUGAUUUCAUUUCAAACUGGAUUAUUUUUUUUCUUUUCCUGUGAAGGUAUCCUUCCACACUGAUAGGACAAGUAGGAUGGCAGGAGGGUUUGAACAGGUUGUGCAUGUCCAAGAUCUAUCAAAAUGGAAGUGCAUGAGGUGUAUUGUCAAGUGUGAGGCAUUAAAGAGGAGAGAUGAGCAUGGGGAGAGAUUUUUAAGAAGAAAUUUGCUUGAAUUAGGCCCAGUGGCCAAGCUGUGUUGGCUUGGAUCACUUGUUUUCCAGAGUCUGGAUUAUUGGCCAAAGGUCUGCAGGUGAGACUGGAGCUAGGCGAGGAGAGGGCAUGAGCUCCCACAACUCUGCAAGCAAGGCUCUCAGCAAGGACCCGGUGUUUCUAACUCAGGGGAGGGGCUGCUUUCUCUUUAGUUAUAGAGGAUUGACAGAUUAUAUAAAAAGGCAAUUCCUGUUGAAUUCAGGUACCAGUACAAAGAAAGUACCAGUUUCUGAUAAUCAGCCUCAAUUGAUAUUGAGUGCACAGGUGGGCCUAUUUUUCUUUUCUUUUUUUUAAUGAUUUAUUACUGUCAGAGAACAGUAAUAAACCAUUCUAAUGUAUUUCCUUUAAAGAGUGGAGCUACUGCUGGUUUGUUUUUAAAACAAAUAGUUAAUUCAAAACUAACAGAAUUCUCCUUUUUUAAAAAAAGAUGGUAGUUGCUUAUUUACUUCAUUUCAAAGGUUUUUUUUUUUUUUAAUUCAGUCUCCCUAGCAACAGAGACAUCUGUCUCUAUUCUCUUAGUCAUUAAAGCCAAAGAAAGUAGCUGCUUCAAAAAUAAUAAAGGCAAUUUCUAUGAAUUGGGUAACUGUUAAUUGUUGCCAAGAAAUCUUAGUGAGAUAAUGAGGCAUACAGCAAUUGACAAAGAUCUUUUCAUUGAUGUAUGAGCUUCCAGCUAGCCCAUGGUGGUUAGCUAAUAUAUACGGUACCAUCGAUGAGGUAUUGUGUGAUUCACUAUGUAACACACAUAGAGAAGUGAUCUUUACUCUUUCUGAUUUCUUUCAGAAGUAUGCCUUGCUGUGAUUUUCCUGAUUGCUUAGUAACUAAUCAUAACUAGGGAUUCCAGGGAAUAUAUUUGCCCAUUACAUUUCAUGAAAGUAGAAAGGUUUGAAGCAUUCACAAUGGAGAUCAAUGCGGCAAAUAGUAUAGUAGUUGGUUGUGGUGUUAAAACACAAUAUACUUUUUAUUUGAGUUGUAGAUUCUGCAAAACCAUUUGAGUAAAAAUACUUAAAAUUGCACUCGAUUCUAAAAUGUAUAUUGGCAUUUGUGCUAAAACUGUUUGCAAGCCCCUUAUAAUGAAACCCCAAUCACCCUCUACAAUAGCUUCACUAAUAAACACAAAACAGUUUGUCAACGCUUUCUGCUUUCCCAGCAGCCAAGGAAGCAAAUUAUAUUAAGUCAGUAUUUUUUAUUAUUGGCCCUAUGUUUGGCACAUGCCUGGCUGUAUGUGAAACUACUGUUAAAUGGGUAAUAACAGAAGGAGAAACCAAGCAUAUAAAAACAGCUUUUUGUGAUUUUUUUAAAUCAGGAAAUAUGCCUUCAAUAACCAGAUGUGGAAUAGCUCAUCGUGUUAUUGGCCCCAUAAGCCUAUUUUGGUUUCUUAAAGUAGGGGGAGGUUAUGAAUGCAAAGUGUAAAAAAUGCUGAAUCUUGUUCCAAAAUUAGAAUGUUUAUAAAAUUUAUAUAUGCAAUGGAUAACUAUCAAGAAAAUAUAAUGGGUAUUAAAUGAAUAUCAAUUUUGGUGGAAACUUGAAUAAGAGUUUUGCUUCUAUUGGAGCAUGUUGUGGUAUGCUUAUAGUACAGAUAAGAAACAGAGGAACUAAAACAUGUUCUUAACCUCACAGUGACAUUUGUUUCAUGUCAAACUGUACAUAUAUAUAGUUUGGUGCAUUAUACAAGUAAUUAAGGCAUUGCUGGUUGGAAAUUGGGUAAGAUCUUGGAAUAAAAAUGUAGACAUAGUUAAGGAAAUCUGUUUAGUUUAGGGAUAUUUUUAUCAUUUCUGAAGUAUUUUCUUUAUAAAUCCUCUAAAUACAGAUAUUUCUAGUAAAUGCUUAUGAAUAUAAAUGAAUAAAAGACAUUAUCUUUUAUAAAUUACAGUAUUCGUCUGCAUAAUUUUGCACUGUUACGGUGACAAACUGUUAAUUUCCUUUCAAGAUGCCUUUAAUAUAAUGAAAGUAGAAAGAAUUUUUCUAACAACCAAGUAGAAAUAGACUUGACUAGCUGUUGGUGACUUUUUAUCAAAAGUUUAAAAAAUUCAGUGUAAAGAAAAUCUUGGCACUUGAUGUAGCAUUUAUAACAUACUCUGGAGGAUCUCAAAGUUAUAGUACUGGCUUUGUUGAUCAAGUUGUACCAUAUUGUCUAUCAGCAUGUCACUUAACAGCAGGUGGAGGCCUUGAAAUGAAUAUUUGCCUCACAGAAUGUCCAUAUAUAGGAUUAUCUCUUUCUCCAGAUAAGAGAUUAGGAAACUGUGGCCUGUGGACCAAAUCUGAACCACUGUCUGUUUUUAAACAGUCUAUGAACUAAGAAUUAUUUUUACAUUUUUCAAUGAUUGGGGGAAAAAAAA